Long non-coding RNA from Labeo rohita (rohu), 1067 nucleotides. RefSeq lists it as uncharacterized. The record is from RefSeq and is a predicted model, not a curated record. NCBI's taxonomy places the organism in Eukaryota, Metazoa, Chordata, Actinopteri, Cypriniformes, Cyprinidae. The transcript has 4 exons.
CCACUCAUGUUCUCAUGCAAUGAACAACACAUCGCGGAGCUGAGGGGAGACUGACAACGCGCUGACAGACAGGACACACCAGGCAUUGGUCAUAUCUGGUGACGCUCACCAUUGGAUUGGAAGUCUUGUCCAUCUAGCAGCUUGCUAACGCAUCUUUAAAAUAGAGCCAGUAAACCCAGUUCUUGAACCGUAUAACAAACCCAAACCUUGAACCAAUAUAACAAACCCAAAUCUUGAACCAAAAUAACAAACCCAAACUUUGAACCCAAUAACCAAUUGAUUUACAGUGCCAGACAGCCUGAAAGAGGGACCAGCUCCAGUCUGCUCUUCCUGAUCUCCAGUCUGCCCUGCUCUUCCUGAUCUGAGGACUGCAUUGGAAGAUCAUCAUCCAAGCACACACACACACACACAGUCAUUUGUUUGAUAACCAACUGUUUAACUUCAUAUUACAUAGUGUUUUUCAUUUUCUAUAGUCUUAUCAAUUAUUCAACUUUAUUUAGCGUUUGUUUAAUUGACUGCUUUGAAUCAGCUCUUAUCAAUAAAUCCCAGUUUCUGUUCAGUAAGUUCAGUCUUGGAACAUCUAUAUUGUAUAGUUGAUUUCACAAUUGUAAUUCUAUACACCAGUCUAAUAUUGUUUGGUGAUAUUGGUGGUUAGCAUUUUACAACCCUAAGUUACAGUUUUAUACUUUUAUCCUAACCCUUCCUGAUCUCCAGUCUUCCCAGCUGCUCUUCCUGAUCUCCAGCUGCUCUUCCUGAUCUCCAGUCUUCCCAGUCUGCCCUGCUGAUCUGAGGACUGCGUUGGAAGAUCAUCCUCCAAGCACACACACACAGUCACUUUAUUUAGCUGUUGUUUAGUUUUUGUGAUUGCUUUUAUUCGGCUCUUAUUAAUAAAGUCCAGUUUCUGUUUAGUAAGUUCAGUCUUGUAACAUCUAUAUUGUAUAGUUGAUUUCACAAUCUUUGGGUGUAUUUUUAUAAAACAGUUUAAUAUUGUUUGGUGAUAUCAGUGGUUAGCAUUUUACAACUUUCUCAUUUUAUGAGUAACCUUUAACCUAAGUUACAGUUUAACA